UCGACUGAGCUCAAGA
RNAcentral lists this ribosomal RNA (16 nucleotides) under Mucidosphaerium planctonicum. RNAcentral describes it as "partial 28S ribosomal RNA". Lineage: Eukaryota; Viridiplantae; Chlorophyta; Trebouxiophyceae; Chlorellales; Chlorellaceae. The record is from RNAcentral.